AUAUUGUUCUUUAAUAUGUGUGCCUCUCUUCAUCUAUUAGGCUAUUAGAAUGACUUUUUCCAGGUAUUUAUUUUUUUAACCAAAAGACUGUAUUUACUAACUCACAGUGAAGCUAACAUAGCUAUUCUUGGGAAAGUCCCGCUAGUUGCUUUACACAGCCAUAAAAUAAGGCGCCAUUAUUCACUGGGCAGAGGCCUCUAGAACUGGAACAUUGAAAUCAGGAGGAACUGCCCAACCCAGCAUUUAUCAGCGUAUUCAUACACCUCCUCAGUAGUAAAGACCAUACAUGCAUGUCCAUCCCAGAGAAAAUCCCUCAUGUCACCCUGAAUUAGUGCUGUCCCCUUGGGUACACAGGAGAUGCUGAGUCACACCUCAGCUCAAAGCUUUACUGUCAUCUUUCCACCUCAAAACACAGAGAAUUUAUGUAUUAAGUUCAACAGCUUAAACUUUUCUUUGUGGCCUACUGCAUACUCCUAGCCCCUGGUGCAGUGUGCACCAUGGAUUUAAAAAAAAAAAAUUUUUUAUUACACUUGAUUUGGGGUUUAAUAGUUAAGGUGCUUUCUUUAUGCUCUACCAAGGAAACAGGAAAUCAUACAUAACUCUGGUUGUACUGGCAUUAAAGAAAAAGCAUCUCAGCCUAUUUUCACUUACCAAGUUCAGGUAGGAAAAGACAGUCUUAGCCAUAAAUUCCAAACAGGAAUCCAGAAGUAAAAGUGGAAUCAGAGGAGCAGCAGAGAAAUAUAGCGAAUAGAAAUCUAAAUGUCAAAUAUAUAUUUACAAAAAUGUUCAUUGCAGUAUUUUUUGUGAUCGUAAGAAACUGGAAACAGCUUUAAUAUCUGUCAGUAAGGUGAUGGUUAAGUAAAUUAUAUAGACACUCUAAUGUGGUGUAUGGUAGAUAGGGAAAUUAUAUAAGAUAGAGGAAUGUUGUAGAUAGGGACAAUCCCUAAUAUAUAUUGUUAAAUGUAAAAACAAAUCACAAAGCAAUAAAUAUUAUAUAAUCACAUUUAUUUUGUAAUCAACAUUAAAUGUAUAGAGAAAUAUUAUACAUAUAUCCUUAAAUGCAUUUUUUAUGUGGUCUGAUAGAAUAUUCCUAUUAGUGGUUACUUCUGAGGUAGGAAGUGAGUCGGGGAGAAAAGGGGAAAAGGAAGACCUAGAUUUUUUACUCCACUGAUUUAAGCUUUUUGAAAGUUUUAGAUGUUUUUAUACUGAACAUAUAUUACUUACAUAUCACUUGUUUAUAUGAAAAAUAAAAUAAGGUGAAAGAAAAUAGCUAAAUUGGUUCAUCCUAAAUUUUUUCUUUUCACCUCAUCCCAUUUUCUCUCUUUCUUUCUCCUAUGGGCUUUUAUAGCUAGCUCUUCAUUUCUGUAAUAUUGAUGGAAUCACGUUGCUAUGCUUUUUAGGCUAGCAGAAGAUUAAUGGGUUGAUAUACCAGGUCAGUUAUAUUAAUUUUCUAGGGCUGCCAUAACCAAAUACCACUGAUUGGGUGAUUCAAAGAACAAAUUAAUUGGUGUUUCCACCAUAGCGCAAUGGAUUAAGAAUCCAACUGCAGCAGCUUAGGUCGAUGUGAGGUGCGGGUUCCAUCCCCAGCCUGGUGCAGUGGGUUAAAGGAUCUUGUGUUGCCACGGCUAUGGCAUAGGUUGCAGCUGCCACUGAGAUUCAUUCCCUCCCUGGCCUGGGAACUUCCAAAUGUUGCAGUUGUGGCCAUAAAAUUUUAAAAUACAAAACAAACAAACAAAAAACCCAUAUUUAUUUUCUUACAGUUCUGGAGCCAGAAGUCCAAGGUCAAGCCGACAGUAGGUUUGGUUUUUUGUGAGGCCUCUCUCUUUGGCUUGCAGAGAAGUCAUCUUCUCGCCUUGUCCUUACAUGGUAUUUUCUUAUGUGCAUGCCAUUCAAUUUGUGUGUCCCAAUUUCCUCUUCUUAUAAAGACAUGUGUCACAUUGGGCACCCUAACAGCCUCAGUUUAACUUAAUCAUGUCUUUGAAGGACCUCUUUCCAAAUACAGUCGAAUUCUAUAGGUUUGGGGGUUAGAGCUUCAACAUACACAUUGAGGAGAACAAAAGUCAGUCAUAUCAGUGGGUCUGGAGCUCAAAAUUUUCUUUACAUAUUCUCACCUGCCCACCAGAAGAGAUCAUAAAGACUUUGAGUCAUUUAAAUGCAGGUCUGUGUUCUCAAAUGGUCACCUUCAGGCCACUCCUGAGGAAUGGCAUGCACAGAAAGUCAGCACUUUGAGACCCCUCUCAUUCACAUUGCUUUGCCUCAAGGGAAGUGGUGGAGCACAUCGUGAUGAAGGGAGGAUGGGCUGAGUGAGACCACUGGCUCUGCCACUUACCAACACUUCUCUAGACUCUAGUUUUCCAUCUGAAAUAGGAGGAUAGUAAUACCUGCCUCUGGGUCAGGGCCAGACCUAUGUUUUUGGUCCCAGAGCAAAAUGAAAUGUAGGGCUGUUGCUCAAGUGGGGAUGUCAGUCUCCCCAACCCACUGGCAAAUGAGCAACCCCUAGGGAUUGUAAGCUCCGUGCUGGAAUCUGGAUCAGGGCUAGUUGAGAGGCCUCCAACCAGUCAUUUUAAUUAUUAGCUACUUCCUUGCUGCACUGAGAUGCCCCAGGGAGUACAUGCCUAACCUUGACCCUCCCUAUGGUCAUGGCCAGGUCUCCAGCAGUGACAGAGGGCAGUGUUGAAACACAGCCUCCCCUCAUCGAUACAACCUUGAUGCCACCCCAGGAGAAAGGUGGCUUAUUUCCUAUGUACCGAGAAAGGGAAGAGGGAAGGCCAGGUACUGUGUGCAGCUCCAGAUAAUGGGGAAUUGGGGACUGAGAACCUGUCCAAAGAGUUAUGAAGGUGGUGAGACAUGGGACAGCAUGUGAGUCCAGGCUUCAAGUCCUUAGCACAUGCUCAAUGUUCUAUCAGACUUCACCUACAAACCACAAAUAAGCCACUUUUGAAAUUUUAGUCAAACUUCAUUCAUUAUCCUCAUGUGCCAGGAGAUGGAUUCUCAUGAAUUAUUUUUCCUAGAAUUUACCUCCUGCCAAAAGAGUAUAAACUACAACUUGUGGUAUUCUCUAAAAUAUAUAUUGGUUAUCAGGAACACUUUUUGUAGAGUUGUUUUAGAAGGUUUUGUUUAGGUAAGAGUUAGUCAUUUGUAAAUGUCCUCUAACUAAUUUAUCAUAGACCAGCUUAUUCUAUUUUAGACACAAACUUUAAAGAAGUAGGAUUUCUAAUAAGCCAGAAACAUUCCUUGUACUUUGAGAGUUCUUUGGCUUAUAUUAGCUUGUGGUCUCUGCUCCCAUGAAGUUCUGGCAACCCUCAC
RNAcentral lists this long non-coding RNA (3306 nucleotides) under Sus scrofa (pig). RNAcentral's name for it is "lncRNA (ENSSSCG00000057409.1)". Lineage: Eukaryota; Metazoa; Chordata; Mammalia; Artiodactyla; Suidae. The record is from RNAcentral.